RNAcentral lists this transfer RNA (76 nucleotides) under Candidatus Daviesbacteria bacterium. RNAcentral describes it as "tRNA-Arg". It matches the Rfam family "tRNA". Rfam says of the family: Transfer RNA (tRNA) molecules are approximately 80 nucleotides in length. Their secondary structure includes four short double-helical elements and three loops (D, anti-codon, and T loops). The record is from RNAcentral. Lineage: Bacteria; Candidatus Daviesiibacteriota.
GCCCCCGUAGUUUAACGGAUAAAACGAUUCGCUUCGGACGAAUUGACUGAGGGUUCGAUCCCUUCCGGGGGCGCCA